RNAcentral lists this long non-coding RNA (219 nucleotides) under Olea europaea (common olive). RNAcentral's name for it is "long non-coding RNA (OEUR_LNC007524)". The record is from RNAcentral. Lineage: Eukaryota; Viridiplantae; Streptophyta; Magnoliopsida; Lamiales; Oleaceae.
AUGCUGACAGGAUUAUUCGUUCUAUCCAGGAUUUGUUCACUUCCUGGGGGCAGGUCCAAAUGCCUCGCCCUGCUCCAUCUGAUCGUCCUGCUGCUUUUUCAGAAGAGGACUUGAAAUUCUUGAAGGAGUUGGUAUUUGAAUACGUGUCCUUUAUGGACAUGGACAUUAGAAGGGCUAGUGCUGCCAGACACAAGGAUGAACUUGAGCGCUUGAGUGCGA